Molecule: ribosomal RNA, 1646 nt
Filed under: Salmonella enterica subsp. enterica
Lineage: Bacteria; Pseudomonadati; Pseudomonadota; Gammaproteobacteria; Enterobacterales; Enterobacteriaceae
Description: partial 23S ribosomal RNA
Rfam family: Bacterial large subunit ribosomal RNA
Source: RNAcentral
GAAUGCUGACAUAAGUAACGAUAAAGCGGGUGAAAAGCCCGCUCGCCGGAAGACCAAGGGUUCCUGUCCAACGUUAAUCGGGGCAGGGUGAGUCGACCCCUAAGGCGAGGCCGAAAGGCGUAGUCGAUGGGAAACGGGUUAAUAUUCCCGUACUUGGUGUUACUGCGAAGGGGGGACGGAGAAGGCUAUGUUGGCCGGGCGACGGUUGUCCCGGUUUAAGCGUGUAGGUGUGUGUUCCAGGUAAAUCCGGUUCACUUUAACACUGAGGCGUGAUGACGAGGCACUACGGUGCUGAAGCAACAAAUGCCCUGCUUCCAGGAAAAGCCUCUAAGCAUCAGGUAACAUCAAAUCGUACCCCAAACCGACACAGGUGGUCAGGUAGAGAAUACCAAGGCGCUUGAGAGAACUCGGGUGAAGGAACUAGGCAAAAUGGUGCCGUAACUUCGGGAGAAGGCACGCUGACACGUAGGUGAAGUGAUUUACUCAUGGAGCUGAAGUCAGUCGAAGAUACCAGCUGGCUGCAACUGUUUAUUAAAAACACAGCACUGUGCAAACACGAAAGUGGACGUAUACGGUGUGACGCCUGCCCGGUGCCGGAAGGUUAAUUGAUGGGGUCAGCGCAAGCGAAGCUCCUGAUCGAAGCCCCGGUAAACGGCGGCCGUAACUAUAACGGUCCUAAGGUAGCGAAAUUCCUUGUCGGGUAAGUUCCGACCUGCACGAAUGGCGUAAUGAUGGCCAGGCUGUCUCCACCCGAGACUCAGUGAAAUUGAACUCGCUGUGAAGAUGCAGUGUACCCGCGGCAAGACGGAAAGACCCCGUGAACCUUUACUAUAGCUUGACACUGAACAUUGAGCCUUGAUGUGUAGGAUAGGUGGGAGGCUUUGAAGCGUGGACGCCAGUCUGCGUGGAGCCGACCUUGAAAUACCACCCUUUAAUGUUUGAUGUUCUAACGUGGACCCGUGAUCCGGGUUGCGGACAGUGUCUGGUGGGUAGUUUGACUGGGGCGGUCUCCUCCUAAAGAGUAACGGAGGAGCACGAAGGUUGGCUAAUCCUGGUCGGACAUCAGGAGGUUAGUGCAAUGGCAUAAGCCAGCUUGACUGCGAGCGUGACGGCGCGAGCAGGUGCGAAAGCAGGUCAUAGUGAUCCGGUGGUUCUGAAUGGAAGGGCCAUCGCUCAACGGAUAAAAGGUACUCCGGGGAUAACAGGCUGAUACCGCCCAAGAGUUCAUAUCGACGGCGGUGUUUGGCACCUCGAUGUCGGCUCAUCACAUCCUGGGGCUGAAGUAGGUCCCAAGGGUAUGGCUGUUCGCCAUUUAAAGUGGUACGCGAGCUGGGUUUAGAACGUCGUGAGACAGUUCGGUCCCUAUCUGCCGUGGGCGCUGGAGAACUGAGGGGGGCUGCUCCUAGUACGAGAGGACCGGAGUGGACGCAUCACUGGUGUUCGGGUUGUCAUGCCAAUGGCACUGCCCGGUAGCUAAAUGCGGAAGAGAUAAGUGCUGAAAGCAUCUAAGCACGAAACUUGCCCCGAGAUGAGUUCUCCCUGAGACUUAGAGUCUCCUGAAGGAACGUUGAAGACGACGACGUUGAUAGGCCGGGUGUGUAAGCGCAGCGAUGCGUUGAGCUAACCGGUACUAAUGAACCGUGAGG